UGAGGAAUAUUGGUCAAUGGGCGAGAGCCUGAACCAGCCAAGUAGCGUGCAGGAUGACGGCCCUCCGGGUUGUAAACUGCUUUUAGUUGGGAAUAAAAAAAGGGACUUGUCCCUUCUUGUAUGUACCUUCAGAAAAAGGACCGGCUAAUUCCGUGCCAGCAGCCGCGGUAAUACGGAAGGUCCAGGCGUUAUCCGGAUUUAUUGGGUUUAAAGGGAGCGUAGGCGGAUUGUUAAGUCAGCGGUUAAAGGGUGUGGCUCAACCAUGCAUUGCCGUUGAAACUGGUGAUCUUGAGUGCAGACAGGGAUGCCGGAAUUCGUGGUGUAGCGGUGAAAUGCUUAGAUAUCACGAAGAACUCCGAUCGCGAAGGCAGGUGUCCGGGCUGCAACUGACGCUGAGGCUCGAAAGUGUGGGUAUCAAACAGGAUUAGAUACCCUGGUAGUCCACACAGUAAACGAUGUAUACUCGCGGUUUGCGAUAGACAGUAAGCCGCCAAGCGAAAGCAUUAAGUAUACCACCUGGGGAGUACGCCGGCAACGGUG
RNAcentral lists this ribosomal RNA (540 nucleotides) under uncultured bacterium. RNAcentral's name for it is "bacterial SSU rRNA". It matches the Rfam family "Bacterial small subunit ribosomal RNA", at positions 355 to 896 of the family's 1533-position model. The record is from RNAcentral.